Molecule: non-coding RNA, 741 nt
Organism: Pelobates cultripes (western spadefoot toad)
Lineage: Eukaryota; Metazoa; Chordata; Amphibia; Anura; Pelobatidae
Source: the annotation of a GenBank genome assembly
GCCAAUAUUAUUUUAAUAAAGUGCUAAAAUCACAAAAAAUAUCAGACAUUCAAUUCAAAAGAGAUUUUAGGUCUGGUUUUCAAACUGGACAUCAGCCCUGAGUGAAUCUCUCCCAUAUGUCAAUGUGGCAACCUGGGGAAAGUUGAACUCUUGCAAUGCAGUUUUUUUUAUUUUUUUAUUCUGGAUUUCCCUUAAAGAGAUCCCUUCAGACACCAUGCCAUCUUUCACUAUUUCAGAAUAAAUUAGCUGCUGGGUUUCCUUUAAAGGCAUAUGACUUAAAGCUGGGUUUGUAUAUUAACCCCAGUAUAAUCACUUGAUGAAUCCCAACCACUGAAUAUAAUACAUUCGUAUAAAAUGGAAAUUCACAUUAUUUACCUCCGUGAAGAUAAUUUCAAUAUCAACAGUAUGACAACGGAACCUGGUAAAUGACAAAAGCACGUCAUCAUUUGCCAAAUAAUAACUCAGAAUUUACUAGAUUUUCAAUGUGAAGCCCUUUCAGAUUAAACAUAUUGAAGAUCUGCGUGACAUAAAGUAAUGUGGCUCUCUCGUCCACGCGCACAGUGUGUACAACACACAGAAAUGGACACAUUGUUCUAGCUGUGGUUGCACAUGGUAGCUGACCGUUACACAUACAAUGGCUGAUACUUUAAAGUUUAAUCCCACAAAAAGAGUAUGAUAAAUAAAACAGAAACAAAAACAAAUAAAUAAAGAUGGCUUGCAGUCCACGUGUGUCUCUAGAGA